RNAcentral lists this long non-coding RNA (300 nucleotides) under Rattus norvegicus (Norway rat). Its description in RNAcentral is "long non-coding RNA NONRATT012101". Lineage: Eukaryota; Metazoa; Chordata; Mammalia; Rodentia; Muridae. The record is from RNAcentral.
ACUUUACAGAGAACAAACUUGAACAGACAAAGCCUCUUCUCCUGGCUGUUGUUGGCUUUCUAAGAAGAUCUGUCUCGGGAUUUCAGGAGUGCCACAGUAAGGGAGGGUACUGUUACCGUUACUAUUGUCCUCGCCCUCACAGAAGACUGGGUAGCUGUUACCCAUAUGCGGCAAACUGCUGCAGGAGGAGAAGAUGACUGGAAGGAAGCACAUGGAAGUCAAGUGACAGAUGUGUAACUGAUGUUUUAAUAAAGGAAACAUUUAAGCAGAUAAGCUUAUCUGCUUCAGAUCCUAUUGAAA